CGCCUGUUUAUCAAAAACAUGUCCUUUUGUUUAUAAAUAUAAGGUCUAACCUGCCCAAUGAUUUAAUUUAAUGGCCGCGGUAUAUUAACUGUGCUAAGGUAGCAUAAUCAUUUGUCUUAUAAUUGAAGGCUAGCAUGAAUGGUUGGACGAAAUAUAAACUUUCUUUAAUGUGUUUUAAGAACUUAAUCUUUUAGUUAAAAAGCUAAAAUUUUAUUGAGGGACGAGAAGACCCUAUAGAUCUUUACACAUAUAUGUUUCAUAAAUUAUAGUGAAUUAAUUUCUUUUGAUAUAGAAAUGUGUUUGAUUGGGGCGAUUGUAAAAUUUGACUAACUUCUAUUUUUAAUUUUCAUUAAUUUAUGUUUUAUUGAUCUGUUAUUAUUGAUUAAAAGAUUAAGUUACCUUAGGGAUAACAGCGUAAUUUUUUUGGAGAGUUCUUAUCGAUAAAGAAGUUUGCGACCUCGAUGUUGGAUUAAAAUAAGUUUUAGGCGUAGAAGUUUAAAAACUAGGUCUGUUCGACCUUUAAUGUUUUACAUGAUCUGAGUUCAAACCGGAG
Molecule: ribosomal RNA, 553 nt
Filed under: Harpactorinae sp. 1 CW-2009
Lineage: Eukaryota; Metazoa; Arthropoda; Insecta; Hemiptera; Reduviidae
Description: partial 16S ribosomal RNA
Rfam family: Bacterial large subunit ribosomal RNA
Source: RNAcentral